GAUUAGUGGCGAACGGGUGAGUAACACGUGGGCAAUCUGCCCUUCACUCUGGGACAAGCCCUGGAAACGGGGUCUAAUACCGGAUAACACUCCUGCCUGCAUGGGCGGGGGUUAAAAGCUCCGGCGGUGAAGGAUGAGCCCGCGGCCUAUCAGCUUGUUGGUGGGGUAAUGGCCCACCAAGGCGACGACGGGUAGCCGGCCUGAGAGGGCGACCGGCCACACUGGGACUGAGACACGGCCCAGACUCCUACGGGAGGCAGCAGUGGGGAAUAUUGCACAAUGGGCGAAAGCCUGAUGCAGCGACGCCGCGUGAGGGAUGACGGCCUUCGGGUUGUAAACCUCUUUCAGCAGGGAAGAAGCGAAAGUGACGGUACCUGCAGAAGAAGCGCCGGCUAACUACGUGCCAGCAGCCGCGGUAAUACGUAGGGCGCAAGCGUUGUCCGGAAUUAUUGGGCGUAAAGAGCUCGUAGGCGGCUUGUCACGUCGGAUGUGAAAGCCCGAGGCUUAACCUCGGGUCUGCAUUCGAUACGGGCUAGCUAGAGUGUGGUAGGGGAGAUCGGAAUUCCUGGUGUAGCGGUGAAAUGCGCAGAUAUCAGGAGGAACACCGGUGGCGAAGGCGGAUCUCUGGGCCAUUACUGACGCUGAGGAGCGAAAGCGUGGGGAGCGAACAGGAUUAGAUACCCUGGUAGUCCACGCCGUAAACGUUGGGAACUAGGUGUUGGCGA
RNAcentral lists this ribosomal RNA (725 nucleotides) under Streptomyces spororaveus. RNAcentral's name for it is "bacterial SSU rRNA". It matches the Rfam family "Bacterial small subunit ribosomal RNA", at positions 90 to 829 of the family's 1533-position model. The record is from RNAcentral. Lineage: Bacteria; Bacillati; Actinomycetota; Actinomycetes; Kitasatosporales; Streptomycetaceae.